GACGAACGCUGGCGGCGUGCUUAACACAUGCAAGUCGAACGGAAAGGCCCUGCUUUUGUGGGGUGCUCGAGUGGCGAACGGGUGAGUAACACGUGAGUAACCUGCCCUUGACUUUGGGAUAACUUCAGGAAACUGGGGCUAAUACCGGAUAGGAGCUCCUGCUGCAUGGUGGGGGUUGGAAAGUUUCGGCGGUUGGGGAUGGACUCGCGGCUUAUCAGCUUGUUGGUGGGGUAGUGGCUUACCAAGGCUUUGACGGGUAGCCGGCCUGAGAGGGUGACCGGCCACCUUGGGACUGAGAUACGGCCCAGACUCCUACGGGAGGCAGCAGUGGGGAAUAUUGCACGAUGGGCGGAAGCCUGAUGCAGCAACGCCGCGUGCGGGAUGACGGCCUUCGGGUUGUAAACCGCUUUCGCCUGUGACGAAGCGUGAGUGACGGUAAUGGGUAAAGAAGCACCGGCUAACUACGUG
RNAcentral lists this ribosomal RNA (468 nucleotides) under uncultured bacterium. RNAcentral describes it as "partial 16S ribosomal RNA". It matches the Rfam family "Bacterial small subunit ribosomal RNA", at positions 28 to 507 of the family's 1533-position model. The record is from RNAcentral.